This is a non-coding RNA of Podarcis lilfordi (Lilford's wall lizard), 79 nucleotides long. NCBI's taxonomy places the organism in Eukaryota, Metazoa, Chordata, Lepidosauria, Squamata, Lacertidae. The record is from the annotation of a GenBank genome assembly.
CUGAGAGAUAGCUCAGUUGGAAGAGCAUGAGAUUCUUAAUCUCGGGGUCGUGGGUUUAAGCCCCAUACUGAGUGAAAGA